This 229-nucleotide long non-coding RNA is filed under the name Phoenix dactylifera (date palm). RNAcentral's name for it is "long non-coding RNA (PDAC_LNC013097)". Lineage: Eukaryota; Viridiplantae; Streptophyta; Magnoliopsida; Arecales; Arecaceae. The record is from RNAcentral.
CACCAUAUGGUUACAUGGCCCCGCCACGGCCACCUUAUCAACAGCAGUAUCCUCCUUACCAGUCAAUGAUGGCUCCACCCCCACCUCCACCUGCACCACCUGCAAUGCAGCAGUACCCUCCAGGUGCACCUGGGUCAUCUUCUCAGGGCUGAGAUCCUUUUUUGGCUGUGUUUCUUUUUUUCCUUGAAUUCAUGUGCUCUUUGCUAUCCAUCGAAUCAGGCUUUGUGCA